This 29-nucleotide non-coding RNA is filed under the name Mus musculus (house mouse). The record is from RNAcentral. Lineage: Eukaryota; Metazoa; Chordata; Mammalia; Rodentia; Muridae.
UUCGACAUCGUAGUUAAUAGGUCUCAUUC